CCUAGUCUGUCCUAGCCUUUAUUCUAGAAAUCCAAUUAAUCGUUUGUAUUAUUUUUAGUUAUGAUUACAAUGUUUUAGCCUAGUUAUGACUAAGACUUAAUAUUCAUGAUUUAUAUUCACAUAUUAUUGCAUAUGUGACGUUAAGGAACUUAAAAAAAAAUACGGCGAAAAUAUUUCUUUUUAUUUUUUCUUUUUAAUUCUGAAACUGAAAUAUAUUCUGAAUCUAUAAAUAUUUUUCUUUUUUCUUUUCAAUUCUGAAACUGAAAUAUAUUCUGAAUCUAUAAAUAUUCUAACUUCAUGGGUAAAUUUGGAAAUAAAUUAAGUGUUUCCCAUUUGGAUGAUUUUCGUAUCAAGUUAUGUCAAUUUAUUGUCGAUUUUAUUUCAGUGCUGUUUAUCAUCUUUCGUUCAAAGCGUAUGUGACUUUAGCGACAGGUAUGGACAAAAUAAGAACUACAAACAAGCGAGAAACGUUGUCCCCACCAUGCGUCUAUCAUGUCGGUGUAUAAGUUUGUGAAGUUAUUCCGUUCUCACGCAUCAUUAGGAUUGUUUUCGUAUAGUUGAAGUACUUAAACAUGGUGAGAUCGAAGUAAUCGAUAUAACAUUCUAUAAGACGUAAGGACAUAAGGAAGUUCUUAUUAGAAACCAAUUUCCUACACUUUUAUCAGGUUGGAUCAUUGAGAAACCGAAUCGUCGUCGCGGAACCGUUUCAUCAUCGAAGGAUUUCCGCUAUUUUAUGCGAAUGUAUAAAGAAUCUUUUUAUGUAAAUUGUAGAAAGAUUCAUUUUUUACCAUUCGGAGAACGUAGAAUGCUAUUAAGAUCAUGGACUGUAUUGUAAAGUUCGAAAUUUCGAAAACACAGACGAAUUAUAUAUGCGUAUUUUACCUCCAAUCUCAUUCUUACUCAAUGCAGUUCCAGCGUUCCUCAUAAUUGCCAUUUCCUUUAUUUUGUGAUUUUUAGAAUCCCUAAUUUAAUGAAUCUAAUAGAACUUGAUUUUAUAAAAAUAAAAAGAAAUAAGAAAAGAAAAAAAAAUACACACACACACACACACACACACACACACACAUAUAUAUAUAUAUUACAUAUGAAAGAUAAAUUUGAAAAAGAUAAUUUUGAAUUGAAUUUAAUUUAACUUUAAAAGCGAAAAUGAAAGUGAAAAAUUCUCGAUCCUAAUCUAUACAAAUAUUCAUUUCCCUUAACGUGUGGCAAAGGGAGAACUUCGUAUACAUCCCAAUCUAUAUGUUUUAGUUUUGUGUCCACCUUUAUUCAAUGUAUUUUCAGUGGUUCACACAAUUACGAUAUCUUAUACAUUCCGCAGUUAUGAUUUUAAUAUAGAACUUGAUUUUAUAAGAAUAUAAUUAUGAAUUUAAUUGAACUUUAGGAAAAAAAGAAAUGAAAAAUUUAUGACUCGACUUCAAUAAUAAAAAUACAUAAAAUAUAAAAUAAUUUUAUUCGCACACACAUUGCAAAAUGGGAUCAGAGAUAGAAUGUUAUGUUUGGUAGUUUUUAAAUCUACCUCUAUACUCAUCACUAUAAGAGUAUUUUGAAUGACAACAUGAUAAAAUUAAAAUAUAACUAAGAACCAUUCUGGGAAGGUUUUAGUGAACCUUUGAAAAUAGCUCAAUAGCCUCAAUAGUGCUCAAGUUUUGGCACAUAGCUUCUUUGUUUUGUUCCCUAAUCACUGCUGCAGAUCAUUCGAUAACGAUAUUUAAUGGUAAAGAAUUAGAACUGUUCUUGAUUCUAAAAUGUGCAAGUAAAUUAACAAUCUAAUGUAACUUUAACACGACCCCAAUGCAACCUUGAAAACAAAAAAAUCUCGGCUCUUUUGUAGAAAAUAAUUACUGCUUUUUGAUCGAGAGAUGUCUUUUAAGAUCAAUAAAGUAUAUAGAAGAAACGUUUAUUAAUUAGUAUAUUAAUUGUUGAAAAUCCUAAGCUAAAAAUUGAUCAUUCUAGUCCUAGGAUUUGAUUAGUUUUCGUUGUUGUUGCACGAUGAACAUUCUGCCCUAAGAUGAUGAAAAAACGUCCGACAACGACUCCACUUCGUGAUUAUAAAAAUAAUUCUUUAAAUAUAAUACUAAUCAGUUAUGAACAUAAAAGAAAUGAAAUUAUAAAUUGUCUAAGUUUAUUCUCAUGGAAAGAAUGAAUUUCGGUGUUCACUCGUUCGAGUGCGAAAUGAAACUGUUUCAAUAAACUGUUUCAAUAAAGUCAGUCAAAUGUAUAUUUUCGUUAAUAUUAAAUGUAGUUGACGACCCGAUGAUUAAAAUUUAACUGUAUUGAAAUAUUAAAUUGAAAUUAUUGUAUAUUUAAUGCGCGUUAGGAAUUAAGUAAUACUUAAGUGAAUGCAUUAACAUUAAAUCUUAUUUUCAUGUACUCAGUGUAUAUCAUACAUUGUUCAAAUAAUUAUAAAAUAACCGAAAGUAUUAAUUGUUUAAUCUUAGAUAUUUGGAAAGAGAGAGCUUUGAUGUUUACUCGUCGAAGUGGAAAAGAGAACUGGAUCGACAAAUAUCAAAGUUAAUCAAAUGUGCGUUUUUGUUGAUAUUAAAUGUUGUCAAUGAUCGGAGAUGUAAUUUAAUUGUACUUAAAUAUUAAAUGGAAAUUAUUUUGUAUUUAACGUGUGUUACAAACUAUUUAAUCAUUAAGCGAAUGUAUUAUUAUUUAAAUAUUAAUUUAUUAUACUCCGUGUACAUUAUACAUCGUUUAAAUAAUUAUAAAAUAACCGAAGGUAUUAUUUAUUUAAUCUUAUAGAGACGUUUGAAAAAAAAGAAUUUCAAUACUCAGUCGUCGAAGUGGGAAAGAAAACUGAAUCGAUAAAUAUUGAAGUCAGUCAAACGUUCGUUUUCGUUAAUAUUAAAUGUAGGCAACAACUCGAAGAUCAAAAUUUAAUUGUUUUGAAAUAUUGAAAUGAAAUUAUUUUAUAUUUAACUCGUGUUAUGAUUUAAACGAAUAUACUAUUGUUUAAAUAUUGGGUUAUUAUACUUUGUCUACAUUAUACAUAGUUUAAAUUAUUAUAAAAUCGUUCCAAAAUUACGUAUCGUUCCUAAAAACCAUUAUUAUGAAUGACUGAACACGUAUUUGCUUAUUUUCAUAGAAUCAUAGAACCCUCUGUCGAAAGCUGAUUAAAAUGCUUGAACGAGUUAUUGUGAGUAUGGCGAAAAGCGUUUCUUUGCAUUUGAAUGGAAUCAGAAAAUCUGAGGAUCGGUUUAUGCACAUAAACAAGGAAGCUAUUGUCUGAUUUACGGAAGCAAACACACAUUACUCAUGACAAUGAGUAGUGGGAAUAAGAGCUUCUUUUUUGCCGCAAAAUUCGAUUGGCGUCACUAUACGAAAUUUUUUUUUUCACGAAAAAUGUCGAGAAUAUUUAUCUCAACAGCGAAUCCAGGCAUAAUUCUUGAACGAUUUUCAUGAACAAGAUCUUAUUUUAAAGAUGAAGGUUUGAGCGAGGAUAUGACUUCUUCAAAUUCUUGGAAAAGCUUUAUUUUUAUGCAUAAAUUAUUUUUGAUAAGAUACCAUCAUUUGAUACGAUUUUUCUUUUUAAAGAAAAUAAAGUUUUUUCAAAUGUUUGAAAAAGCUAUGUUCUCUCUUGAUCCUUCAUAUUUAAAAUAAAAUCCUGUUUAUCGAAAUCGUUCAAAAAUUAUGUCUUUACUCAUUG
This is a long non-coding RNA of Vespula vulgaris, 3646 nucleotides long. RefSeq lists it as uncharacterized. The record is from RefSeq and is a predicted model, not a curated record. The transcript is spliced from 3 exons. Lineage: Eukaryota; Metazoa; Arthropoda; Insecta; Hymenoptera; Vespidae.